Molecule: ribosomal RNA, 475 nt
Filed under: Geastrum sp. JFFN-2020a
Lineage: Eukaryota; Fungi; Basidiomycota; Agaricomycetes; Geastrales; Geastraceae
Description: partial large subunit ribosomal RNA
Rfam family: Eukaryotic large subunit ribosomal RNA
Source: RNAcentral
GACGGGCCAGCAUCAGUUUUGGCCGCCAGAAAAAGGUGGGAGGAAGGUGGCACCUCCGGGUGUGUUAUAGCCUCUCAUCGUAUGUGGCGGCUGGGACUGAGGACCGCAGCAUGCCUUUAUAGCCGGGGUUCGCCCACGUAACAUGCUUAGGAUGCUGGCGUAAUGGCUUUAAGCGACCCGUCUUGAAACACGGACCAAGGAGUCUAACAUGCCUGCGAGUAUUUGGGUGGCAAACCCAUAUGCGGAAUGAAAGUGAACAGUUGGGACUUCUGUCAUGGAAGGCACCGACGCCCGGACCAGACCUAUUGUGACGGAUCCGAGGUACAGCAUGUAUGUUGGGACCCGAAAGAUGGUGAACUAUGCCUGAGUAGGGUGAAGCCAGAGGAAACUCUGGUGGAGGCUCGUAGCGAUUCUGACGUGCAAAUCGAUCGUCUAACUUGGGUAUAGGGGCGAAAGACUAAUCGAACCAUCUAGU